UACAGAGGGUGCAAGCGUUGUUCGGAUUUACUGGGCGUAAAGCGUGCGUAGGCGGUAUUGAGAGUCGCGGGUGAAAUCCCAGGGCUUAACCCUGGAACUGCCUGCGAGACCUCAGUACUAGAGUGUGAGAGGGGAUGGUGGAAUACCAAGUGUAGCGGUGAAAUGCGUAGAGAUUUGGUGGAACACCGGUGGCGAAGGCGACCAUCUGGCUCACAACUGACGCUCAGGCACGAAAGCGUGGGUAGCAAACAGG
Molecule: ribosomal RNA, 253 nt
Filed under: uncultured bacterium
Lineage: Bacteria
Description: partial 16S ribosomal RNA
Rfam family: Bacterial small subunit ribosomal RNA
Source: RNAcentral